CUACAGUGAUGAGCUUCCACUUCGGUCCGUGUUUCUGAUUCCUGAUACCCAACAGAAGUUCUGAGUUU
Small nucleolar RNA from Esox lucius (northern pike), 68 nucleotides. Its record names the gene SNORD18. It matches the Rfam family "Small nucleolar RNA SNORD18". Rfam says of the family: U18 is a member of the C/D class of snoRNA which contain the C (UGAUGA) and D (CUGA) box motifs. It is encoded in introns of ribosomal protein L1 in Xenopus and human, and in introns of elongation factor 1 beta in yeast. Related snoRNAs in Arabidopsis and rice have been named R63 and Z106 respectively. Lineage: Eukaryota; Metazoa; Chordata; Actinopteri; Esociformes; Esocidae. The record is from Ensembl.